CUUAACCAAUGCCCUGUGUGAACCAAAUGUGCUCAGAAUAUUUCCCAGAAUCCUUUGCAAUGUGCAGGCGUUCCAUGGCAGUUAAGUCGAUGCGGAGUGUUCCCUGAAGGUAUAACAUCUUUAAAGCAGCGCUCUGAGUCAAACAGACCUAGCACCCUCAGCCUUUCCUUGGACAAUUUGUUUUCCAGAAGAUCCUCAAUCAUCAUCAGAGCUCGCCUCUGAAUCCCCAUCUUGCUUUUCACCAUCCUUCUUCAGCUGUAUAACCCGGAACUGAGUAUGAGACUCCAAAUGAGCUCUUAUCAUUGCUAAGCAGACGCCAAAUUAUGUCUUCUCACAUCUAGGGAGUUAUAUUUCUAGUCAUUCAAUGUAACUAAGCCAUUGGUAAUUGGAUCACACGUUGCCAACUCUCGAUUCGAAAGGGCAACGCCAUUGGAGACAUUCUCUGCACGGCCAUCGCCUAACUUCCUGACUAACAAAGCAGUUGCACGAAUGGGUUGCAAGAGUGAGUUGUGCUGAAUCUGGAGCUUGCAUUCCAGGCUCGUCUUGCACAAGGUGUGCAGCCGGUGGUAUGCCUCAUAGGUUGUGCUGGGAACUUUUGCACGAGAGAUAAAUUCUCUUGCAAAAGAGCUCCAUUUUUUUGCACAAGAGUGCAAUUCUUUCCCAUUCUUUUUCUUUCCUUUUCAAGAGCUCAAUUCUCUUUUGCACAAGAACUCAGUUCCGAGAACCUCCAUUGCCUCAUGCAGCUAUUGCACUGACACAACUUUGUUGCUUGCACAAAUGCCUCAUGAGUUGGCAUGCCAGCCAUUGCCUCCAAGACUCAGGAAGCCAUGUACGCAUUGCUGCUCAUAAAGUCAGUGGACAUGUCAAAAUCCAUCCCCAACCCCUUCCCGCAAAAGCCAACUGGUUGACUUCUCACCACAGAAGAAGCGGCCAUGUUUUUCGACCUGCAGACUUCCGCCAGCAUUCCAGGACUGAAGGGAAGAAGAACAAAGAUUCAUUAAAAAUGCCCAAUUAUUUUGCCUCAACCGGCAACACAGCCCUACAGCCACAGAGAGAGAGAACAGCUGGGAUGUCUUGAUCUGAAACCCACAUCCCUCUUUUAUGCCAUCAAAUCUCCCGGAACACUUGAGAGAAGAGAGCAGACCUCAGCCAAGGAGAUGAGCUCGCUUUUAGCUUCGAAACCUCCCUCGUGGACAUGUCCAGGGACAGCAGUGAAGAUGGGCACCUGCUUGGACCCCAGCUAGCAAAAGGCUCUUUCUGACAAUCUCCUCGUUGUGCCAAGCUCACCAGAAGGUCAAAGACACAGAGCACAAGAAUUCUUGGGGGCGGGGAGGACUAGGAGGGUGGCUCAGUGGAGUCCUAUUGCAUGAGGCACGAUGAAACUCAAAGGGGAGCAGCAGCCUCUAAGCACUGGCUCCCUGCUCUACACACCAAGGGUACCCAAUCUUGGGUGCACUAACCAGCUUGACCUUGAGCUGAUUCACCAUCGAGCCGGCCCAGUCUGAGGGCUUGCCCUCGAGCCGGACCAUGCCUGGUUCUGGUUCGGCUCGAGGUUAAGCUGGGUUUUUUAAAAAAAUGGUGGACUUAACUCCUCCAAGGUCUUGUGUGUGUGUGUGUGGGGGGGUGCUGGCAGCUGCCGGGGGGGGGGUCUACAGUAGUUCCCCCUCCUCACGCUGGCCUUCCCCCGUUUCCCACAGACAAUUUCGGCCCUCUCCGAGCUCACGGCAGCCACUUUGGAUGCUGCCGCCCAUAUGCACAGGCCAUUUGCAUGUCCGGCUCUGGGCCUUGGCAUGCAAGAGGCCCGUUCGCAUGCAUGGUGGCCUCCAAAAUGGUCGCCACAAGCUUGGAGAGGGUCGAAACAGCCACUGGGAGAUGGGGGAGAGGCUGGCGGGGGGAGGUGGAACUGCCAGAGACCCUCCUGUGGCUGCCAGCAGGACCCCCUGAGGCCCUGGAGGCAGUAAGUCUCCCAUAUUAAUAAAAACAUCCCUGGCGCCCCUGAACCAGGCCCAAACUGGCUCAAAUUCGAACUGUGCUGGGCCCCUCAUUCAGGGCACCAAAACCGAAUAUACCUGGUUCAGUUCGAGCCCAGUUUGGACUUGAACUGAACUGGGCAAACUGGUUUUAUGCACACUCCUAGUCCUCAGAUGUUUGGCUAUAACUCCCAUCAUCCCUGGAGGCCAUUGUGGCUAGGAAUGAUGGGAGCUGUAGUCCAAUGAUAGCAGGAGAGCCCCGGUUGAGUCCCCCUACCUGAAAUCCUUUCCCAGUACUGAAAAUAAAGGAUAAUAUAUGUCCAACGAG
This is a long non-coding RNA of Hemicordylus capensis (graceful crag lizard), 2298 nucleotides long. RefSeq lists it as uncharacterized. NCBI's taxonomy places the organism in Eukaryota, Metazoa, Chordata, Lepidosauria, Squamata, Cordylidae. The record is from RefSeq and is a predicted model, not a curated record. The transcript is spliced from 2 exons.